Molecule: transfer RNA, 73 nt
Filed under: Stegodyphus mimosarum
Lineage: Eukaryota; Metazoa; Arthropoda; Arachnida; Araneae; Eresidae
Rfam family: tRNA
About the family: Transfer RNA (tRNA) molecules are approximately 80 nucleotides in length. Their secondary structure includes four short double-helical elements and three loops (D, anti-codon, and T loops).
Source: Rfam by way of RNAcentral
GCCUUCAUGGUGUAGUAGUCAGCACGCUCGGCGCGUAACCGAGAGGUCCGUGGUUCGAUUCCUGGCGAAGGCG